This 761-nucleotide ribosomal RNA is filed under the name Nitrospirota bacterium. RNAcentral describes it as "Nitrospirae bacterium (sediment metagenome) partial 23S ribosomal RNA". It matches the Rfam family "Bacterial large subunit ribosomal RNA", at positions 1 to 745 of the family's 2925-position model. Lineage: Bacteria; Pseudomonadati; Nitrospirota. The record is from RNAcentral.
GGUCAAGUUACAAAGGGUUUACGAUGGCUGACUUGGCAGACUCAGGCGAUGAAGGACGCGAUAAGCUGCGAUAAGCUUCGGGGAGCUGCAAUGAAGCUUUGAUCCGGAGAUUUCCGAAUGGGGCAACCCAACCAGGCUAAUACCUGGUUAUUCUGGACUGAAUACAUAGGUUCAGAAUGCUAACGUGGCGAAUUGAAACAUCUUAGUAGCCACAGGAAAAGAAAACGAAUGUGAUUCCCUUAGUAGCGGCGAGCGAAACGGGAAGAGGCUAAACUCUAAUGCUUGCAUUAGNNNNNNNNNNNNNNNNNNNNNNNNNNUUGCGAGAGAAUAGCAAAAGCGUCUGGAAAGGCGCACCACAGCAGGUGAAAGUCCUUUUUGCGAAAUUCUUAAGCACCUUAGAGGUAUCCCAAGUAAUGCGGGGCACGAGAAAUCCCGUAUGAAUCUGUGCCGACCAUGGCAUAAGCCUAAAUACUCGAGUCUGACCGAAAGCGUACAAGUACCGUGAGGGAAAGUUGAAAAGAACCCCGGGAGGGGAGUGAAAUAGAACCUAAAAUCGUAAACUUACAAAGCGGUCGAAGGCCUAUGCAUAUCGCAAGAUAUGAACGGCUGACGGCGUACCUUUUGCAUAAUGGACCAACUAGUUGCUAGCUGUUGCAAGCUUAAGCCCCUCUGGGGCGGAGGCGUAGGGAAACCGAGUGUGAACAGCGCGAUUCAGUAACAGUUAGCAGACGCGAAACCACGUGAUCUAUCCAUGGCCAGAA